This 200-nucleotide long non-coding RNA is filed under the name Elaeis guineensis (African oil palm). RNAcentral describes it as "long non-coding RNA (EGUI_LNC021579)". Lineage: Eukaryota; Viridiplantae; Streptophyta; Magnoliopsida; Arecales; Arecaceae. The record is from RNAcentral.
UAAUGGUGAUUAGAACUAACUCACUAACACAGAUAAGCAUAGCAUUUCCACACAACUAUCCAGGAAUGAAAUAUCUUCACAAGCCAAUUUUUUUCAUUCGCAACUAACAAUGUUUACAUGUUUUUCACAUGCUAUGUUGGAUUCUUAGUCGUGUUUCUACAAAAAAUCAAUUAAAAGGAUGUGAUUCGCUAUUGUAGUUC